AUCAUGACUCUCGGCAACGGAUAUCUUGGCUCUCGCAUCGAUGAAGAACGUAGCAAAAUGCGAUACCUGGUGUGAAUUGCAGAAUCCCGUGAACCAUCGAGUUUUUGAACGCAAGUUGCGCCCGAGGCCUUUUGGUCGAGGGCACGUCUGCCUGGGCGUCACGC
This 164-nucleotide ribosomal RNA is filed under the name Bouteloua dactyloides. Its description in RNAcentral is "5.8S ribosomal RNA". It matches the Rfam family "5.8S ribosomal RNA". Rfam says of the family: 5.8S ribosomal RNA (5.8S rRNA) is a component of the large subunit of the eukaryotic ribosome. It is transcribed by RNA polymerase I as part of the 45S precursor that also contains 18S and 28S rRNA. Lineage: Eukaryota; Viridiplantae; Streptophyta; Magnoliopsida; Poales; Poaceae. The record is from RNAcentral.